GACGAACGCUGGCGGCGUGCUUAACACAUGCAAGUCGAACGGUAAGGCCCUUCGGGGUACACGAGUGGCGAACGGGUGAGUAACACGUGGGUGAUCUGCCCUGCACUUCGGGACAAGCCUGGGAAACUGGGUCUAAUACCGGAUAGGACCACUGCCUGCAUGGGUGGUGGGGGAAAGCUUUUGCGGUGUGGGAUGGGCCCGCGGCCUAUCAGCUUGUUGGUGGGGUGAUGGCCUACCAAGGCGACGACGGGUAGCCGGCCUGAGAGGGUGACCGGCCACACUGGGACUGAGAUACGGCCCAGACUCCUACGGGAGGCAGCAGUGGGGAAUAUUGCACAAUGAGCGCAAGCCUGAUGCAGCAACGCCGCGUGAGGGAUGACGGCCUUCGGGUUGUAAACCUCUUUCAGCACCGACGAAGCGCAAGUGACGGUAGGUGCAGAAGAAGGACCGGCCAACUACGUGCCAGCCGCCGCAGUAA
RNAcentral lists this ribosomal RNA (478 nucleotides) under uncultured bacterium. RNAcentral's name for it is "partial 16S ribosomal RNA". It matches the Rfam family "Bacterial small subunit ribosomal RNA", at positions 28 to 523 of the family's 1533-position model. The record is from RNAcentral.